Molecule: long non-coding RNA, 442 nt
Organism: Nycticebus coucang (slow loris)
Lineage: Eukaryota; Metazoa; Chordata; Mammalia; Primates; Lorisidae
Exons: 3
Source: RefSeq, a predicted model, not a curated record
GGUCCCAGAGACCCUUGCGCCGGCGCGCACGCCCGGAGCGGCGCUGGCUGGGCGUGGCGCAGGUGGGCGGUGCUGGAGCUCCUGACAGGCUUGGGGACUGGGUUUACGAGUCCGCCGGGAGCACCUCCGUGGGGGUCGGGCUAGCCACGUACAGUUUCAGAGGGAGGCAGGUAGGUAGGUGACCCCACAGCCAGACAAGCAGAGCAGUAAAGGCUCGGGGGCAGCCAGAAAGCGCCAGCUGCGAGUCUGGAAGAGUCAGAGGUGAUGGGCAUGUGGGUGAAUGCAGGUGAUCGGAGUGCGGAUGCCAGGCGACACUGAAUGAGCAGAGCCCAAGGUGAGUGGCAGAAAGGGCCAAGGAGCUCCAAACUAUAGAAGAUGGCUGCUUACAUCUCUAUGGGUUGAGAGCUGCAGACGGCUCACCUGCACAUAGAUAUCAAUCUGG